GACGAACGCUGGCGGCGUGCUUAACACAUGCAAGUCGAACGGAAAGGCCCUGCUUUUGUGGGGUGCUCGAGUGGCGAACGGGUGAGUAACACGUGAGUAACCUGCCCUUGACUUUGGGAUAACUUCAGGAAACUGGGGCUAAUACCGGAUAGGAGCUCCUGCUGCAUGGUGGGGGUUGGAAAGUUUCGGCGGUUGGGGAUGGACUCGCGGCUUAUCAGCUUGUUGGUGGGGUAGUGGCUUACCAAGGCUUUGACGGGUAGCCGGCCUGAGAGGGUGACCGGCCACAUUGGGACUGAGAUACGGCCCAGACUCCUACGGGAGGCAGCAGUGGGGAAUAUUGCACAAUGGGCGGAAGCCUGAUGCAGCAACGCCGCGUGCGGGAUGACGGCCUUCGGGUUGUAAACCGCUUUCGCCUGUGACGAAGCGUGAGUGACGGUAAUGGGUAAAGAAGCACCGGCUAACUACGUGCCAGCAGCCGCGGUGAUACGUAGGGUGCGAGCGUUGUCCAGAUUUAUUGGGCGUAAAGGGCUCGUAGGUGGUUGAUCGCGUCGGAAGUGUAAUCUUGGGGCUUAACCCUGAGCGUGCUUUCGAUACGGGUUGACUUGAGGAAGGUAGGGGAGAAUGGAAUUCCUGGUGGAGCGGUGGAAUGCGCAGAUAUCAGGAGGAACACCAGUGGCGAAGGCGGUUCUCUGGGCCUUUCCUGACGCUGAGGAGCGAAAGCGUGGGGAGCGAACAGGCUUAGAUACCCUGGUAGUCCACGCUGUAAACGGUGGGUACUAGGUGUGGGGUCCAUUCCACGGGUUCCGUGCCGUAGCUAACGCUUUAAGUACCCCGCCUGGGGAGUACGGCCGCAAGGCUAAAACUCAAAGGAAUUGACGGGGCCCCGCACAAGCGGCGGAGCAUGCGGAUUAAUUCGAUGCAACGCGUAGAACCUUACCUGGGUUUGACAUGGAUCGGGAGCGCUCAGAGAUGGGUGUGCCUCUUUUGGGGUCGGUUCACAGGUGGUGCAUGGCUGUCGUCAGCUCGUGUCGUGAGAUGUUGGGUUAAGUCCCGCAACGAGCGCAACCCUUGUUCACUGUUGCCAGCACGUUAUGGUGGGGACUCAGUGGAGACCGCCGGGGUCAACUCGGAGGAAGGUGGGGAUGACGUCAAGUCAUCAUGCCCCUUAUGUCCAGGGCUUCACGCAUGCUACAAUGGCUGGUACAGAGAGUGGCGAGCCUGUGAGGGUGAGCGAAUCUCGGAAAGCCGGUCUCAGUUCGGAUUGGGGUCUGCAACUCGACCUCAUGAAGUCGGAGUCGCUAGUAAUCGCAGAUCAGCAACGCUGCGGUGAAUACGUUCCCGGGGCU
RNAcentral lists this ribosomal RNA (1346 nucleotides) under uncultured bacterium. Its description in RNAcentral is "bacterial SSU rRNA". It matches the Rfam family "Bacterial small subunit ribosomal RNA", at positions 28 to 1381 of the family's 1533-position model. The record is from RNAcentral.